ACGGAAGGCAGCAGUGGGGAAUAUUGCACAAUGGGGGAAACCCUGAUGCAGCGACGCCGCGUGAGUGAAGAAGUUAUUCGUAAUGUAAAGCUCUAUCAGCAGGGAAGAAAAUGACGGUACCUGAUUAAGAAGCCCCGGCUAACUACGUGCCAGCAGCCGCGGUAAUACGUAGGGGGCAAGCGUUAUCCGGAUUUACUGGGUGUAAAGGGAGCGUAGACGGUCUAGCAAGUCUGAUGUGAAAGGCAGGGGCUCAACUCCUGGACUGCAUUGGAAACUGUUAGUCUUGAGUGUCGGAGAGGUAAGCGGAAUUCCUAGUGUAGCGGUGAAAUGCGUAGAUAUUAGGAGGAACACCAGUGGCGAAGGCGGCUUACUGGACGAUAACUGACGUUGAGGCUCGAAAGCGUGGGGAGCAAACAGGAUUAGAUACCCUGGUA
Molecule: ribosomal RNA, 434 nt
Filed under: uncultured Lachnospiraceae bacterium
Lineage: Bacteria; Bacillati; Bacillota; Clostridia; Lachnospirales; Lachnospiraceae
Description: partial 16S ribosomal RNA
Rfam family: Bacterial small subunit ribosomal RNA
Source: RNAcentral